Molecule: ribosomal RNA, 255 nt
Filed under: uncultured bacterium
Lineage: Bacteria
Description: partial 16S ribosomal RNA
Rfam family: Bacterial small subunit ribosomal RNA
Source: RNAcentral
GCAAGUCGAACGGUAACAGGGUAGAGCUUGCUCUUUUGCUGACGAGUGGCGCACGGGUGCGUAACGCGUAUACAAUCUGCCUUUUACAGGGGGAUAGCCUUUAGAAAUGAAGAUUAAUAUCCCAUGGCAAGUGGACUUGGCAUCAAGACCACUUUAAAGCUUCGGCGGUAAAAGAUGAGUAUGCGUUCUAUUAGCUAGAUGGUGUGGUAACGGCACACCAUGGCAACGAUAGAUAGGGGCCCUGAGAGGGGGAUC